Chenopodium quinoa (quinoa) is the source of this 797-nucleotide long non-coding RNA. RefSeq lists it as uncharacterized. The transcript is spliced from 3 exons. The record is from RefSeq and is a predicted model, not a curated record. NCBI's taxonomy places the organism in Eukaryota, Viridiplantae, Streptophyta, Magnoliopsida, Caryophyllales, Amaranthaceae.
AUUUCUUUGCUCCAAGUCAAAGGACCCAAGUCCAUUUCUUACUCCUAAAGCAUGACCAAAGUCACAAACUUCUCUUACAAACUUGAAUACUUGGCCUCCAAUUUGUUGACAUCAUACAUGAUGUCAAUAACAUGACCUCAUAAACUUCAUUGACCCCCAAGUUGUUGACAUCAUACAUGAUGUCAAUAGGGCUCUCAAACUUUAUAAAUAGGAUCCAAAGUUCAUCCAUUUUAAGCCAAAAGUCUCUUGCCCUCAAAGCUCCAUCCUUCUUUCUUCUCUCUUCCUCCCAUUUUCGUACUUCUUCAUCCCGUAUAUGUUCCAGGCCAUUUUUCAGCGACUUAUGUUCAUUUUUAGCAUUUUGAUAUUUGAGAUAAAGUUGUUCUUCUCGAAAAAUCCUUGAGGUUAGGCUCAAGAAUCACCCAAUUUGGAGUUAUAUACUAUGAGAUAUGGCCUCUGCAAGAUCUGACUCCUCCUUUUCAACGUGAACCUUUCUACUUUAGGUUGUUUUGCGGGGGAAUUGCAAGUUUGAGAUUAAGAAAUUUGUGUUUGUUGCAAAAGAUCAAGAUAGGUGAUGGCGAUCAGAAGACGUGAAUUAAAUGCUGCAUUGGGGACAAUGGGCGGUGAUCACCUAGUUAAAUUUAGUAGACAUAGUAUCAAUGUUUUAGUUACUUCAGAAAUUUCUUGAACUAUUAUCAUUAUUAUUAUUAAAUGACAAGUAUUUUCUUCCGCUGCAAAUCUCUGUUAAGCCUUACGUAAUCACGUGGCGGUAAUACUCCCAUGUUACUCCCUAAAGUUGG